CAUUAGAUGGCUGAAAGCAAGCAAUGGAAUUUUAAACCAUAAUAUAGUAAAUAGCGAUUACUUCUAAUGA
This 70-nucleotide transfer RNA is filed under the name Closteromerus claviger. RNAcentral's name for it is "tRNA-Lys". The record is from RNAcentral. Lineage: Eukaryota; Metazoa; Arthropoda; Insecta; Coleoptera; Cerambycidae.